RNAcentral lists this ribosomal RNA (454 nucleotides) under uncultured Prevotellaceae bacterium. Its description in RNAcentral is "bacterial SSU rRNA". It matches the Rfam family "Bacterial small subunit ribosomal RNA", at positions 341 to 792 of the family's 1533-position model. Lineage: Bacteria; Pseudomonadati; Bacteroidota; Bacteroidia; Bacteroidales; Prevotellaceae. The record is from RNAcentral.
ACGGGAGGCAGCAGUGAGGAAUAUUGGUCAAUGGGCGCGAGCCUGAACCAGCCAAGUAGCGUGCAGGAUGACGGCCCUAUGGGUUGUAAACUGCUUUUUCGCGGGGGUAAAGUUCGCCACGUGUGGCGUUUUGCAAGUACCGCGUGAAUAAGGACCGGCUAAUUCCGUGCCAGCAGCCGCGGUAAUACGGAAGGUCCGAGCGUUAUCCGGAAUCAUUGGGUUUAAAGGGAGCGUAGGCGGGACGUCAAGUCAGCUGUGAAAACCCCGGGCUCAACCCGUGGCGUGCAGUUGAAACUGUCGUUCUUGAGUGCACAUAAGGAAGGUGGAAUUCGUGGUGUAGCGGUGAAAUGCUUAGAUAUCACGAAGAACUCCGAUUGCGAAGGCAGCCUUCCGGGGUGCUACUGACGCUGAGGCUCGAAAGUGCGGGUAUCGAACAGGAUUAGAUACCCUGGUA